RNAcentral lists this microRNA precursor (143 nucleotides) under Podarcis lilfordi (Lilford's wall lizard). Lineage: Eukaryota; Metazoa; Chordata; Lepidosauria; Squamata; Lacertidae. The record is from RNAcentral.
CCAACUAAGUUUGUUCUGGGUAUAAGCUUUCGUGUGCAUGCACGCUUCUUCAGAUAUGUUUAACACUUCAGAUACAUUUAAUACUGGUAUCUGAAGAAGUGUGCAUGCACCCGAAAGCUUAUACCCAGAACAAACAUAGUUGG